RNAcentral lists this transfer RNA (72 nucleotides) under Pangasianodon gigas (Mekong giant catfish). Its description in RNAcentral is "tRNA-Glu". It matches the Rfam family "tRNA". Rfam says of the family: Transfer RNA (tRNA) molecules are approximately 80 nucleotides in length. Their secondary structure includes four short double-helical elements and three loops (D, anti-codon, and T loops). The record is from RNAcentral. Lineage: Eukaryota; Metazoa; Chordata; Actinopteri; Siluriformes; Pangasiidae.
UACCUGGAGGACUAGUGGUUAGGCCUUGGCGAUCUCACUGCCGUGGCCCGGGUUCGAUUCCCGGCCAGGGAA